This 458-nucleotide ribosomal RNA is filed under the name uncultured bacterium. RNAcentral describes it as "partial 16S ribosomal RNA". It matches the Rfam family "Bacterial small subunit ribosomal RNA", at positions 338 to 795 of the family's 1533-position model. The record is from RNAcentral.
CCUACGUGUGGCAGCAGUGGGGAAUAUUGCACAAUGGGGGAAACCCUGAUGCAGCGACGCCGCGUGAGUGAAGCAGUAUUUCGGUAUGUAACGCUCUAUCAGCAGGGCAGAAAUAGCAACCUUUGGGUCGCCAGACGGUACCUGAUUAAGAAGCCCCGGCUAACUACGUGCCCGCAGCCGCGGUAAUACGUAGGGGGCAAGCGUUAUCCGGAUUUACUGGGUGUAAAGUGGGCGUAGACGGCAGCGCACGUCUGAAGUGAAAUGCCGGGGCUUAACCCCGGAACUGCUUUGGAAACUGUGCAGCUAGAGUGCAGGAGAGGUAAGUGGAAUUCCUAGUGUAGCGGUGAAAUGCGUAGAUAUUAGGAGGAACACCAGUGGCGAAGGCGGCUUACUGGACUGUAACUGACGUUGAGGCUCGAAAGCGUGGGGAGCAAACAGGAUUAGAUACCCUGGUAGUC